UACAGAGGGUGCAAGCGUUAAUCGGAAUGACUGGGCGUAAAGCGCACGUAGGUGGUUUGUUAAGUUAGGUGUGAAAGUCCUGGGCUCAACCUGGGGAGGUCAUCUAAUACUGGCAGACUAGAGUACAGUAGAGGGAAGUGGAAUUUCCGGUGUAGCGGUGAAAUGCGUAGAUAUCGGAAGGAACAUCAGUGGCGAAGGCGACUUCCUGGACUGAUACUGACACUGAGGAGCGAAAGCGUGGGUAGCGAACGGG
RNAcentral lists this ribosomal RNA (253 nucleotides) under uncultured bacterium. Its description in RNAcentral is "partial 16S ribosomal RNA". It matches the Rfam family "Bacterial small subunit ribosomal RNA", at positions 524 to 776 of the family's 1533-position model. The record is from RNAcentral.